This 2691-nucleotide long non-coding RNA is filed under the name Neodiprion lecontei (redheaded pine sawfly). RNAcentral describes it as "uncharacterized LOC124294143". The record is from RNAcentral. Lineage: Eukaryota; Metazoa; Arthropoda; Insecta; Hymenoptera; Diprionidae.
UAAUAGUAUAAUAAAAUUUUUCCUUCACUACCACGUCACGUAUUUUCGUAGUCAGAUACAUUUAGUUUUAUCGUGACCGUUGUAUCGAGCACUUCGUAAGUUAGCACGUUUUAUUUUACUGCAAAUGAGUGAACAAUCUCCGUAUUUAAAUAAAAAAAGAACUCACGAUGUUCCCAGACAACGAUAAAUAGCAAAAAAACGCAAGUUUACCGGAAACCGACAUACAUUUGAGCAAUCUACUGCGUACAUCAGUACGUCCGCAAAGAAACUAUUACAGAAUAAUGACGAUAAUGUUGUGAUUGACCCAUCUCAUGGAUAUCGUAUUUUACAGUUUGUCUCAGUUUUUAGUGCAAUUAGGAAUUUAGUGAUGUGCAAAACUUGUCAAAAAGAAAUUACUCUUAAUCAAGCAAGUCCAAGAGGCCUAGGGUUUGAAAUAGCUGUCACUUGUGAAUGUGGUAAUUCGUACAUCAAUUCUGGACCAAUGAUCGAUAACGCAUUUGAAAUGAAUAGACAUCUUGUGGCUGUGAUGCGUCUUUUGGGCGUCGGAAUAAACAGGAUAAAUCUUUUUUGUGGAUUAAUGGAUCUAGCAUGCAAAUUUUAUAAUCAAACUUUUGCUGGAUGUUUCACAAAUUUAUGGACUGCAGCCGAAACCGUUUGUAAACUUAGUAUGCAACAAGCUGUAAAUGAAGGAAAAGAGCUUACAUCAAAGAAAGAAAACUCAGAGAAAAAUUUGACCGUUAGCGGCGACGGUGCCUGGAAAAAACGUGGUCAUACUUCCCGUUUUGGAGUAGUUACGCUGGAAGGAAAAUACAGCAAGAAAAUUCUUGGUUCAUAUGUGAAGUCUACAUACUGUCAGAGUUGUGUUUUUUGGAAGAAAAAAAAAGAGAGCGAUCCUGAAGCUUACGAAGAAUGAUUAUCAAUACACGAAGAAGAAUGUAAUAUUAAUCGUGAGGGAUCUGCCUCGAAAAUGGAAGUAGAUAGUGUAAAAGACGUGUUUGGUCGUUCGUUUAGUGAAUAUGGCGUAAAAUAUUUUCGCUACAUUGGUGAUGGUGAUAGUGCCACUGAUAAAGGAUUAAUAGAUUUGAAUCCUUAUGAUAUUCCUGUUGAAAAAUUAGAAUGCUACUUGCAUGUGAAAAAAAGAAUAGGAACACGAUGCCGAAAUUUAAAGAAAACCAAUAACAAGUUAGGAGGAAGAAGUAAAACAUCGCAAAAGUUAACUGUAAAUUUAAUAAAUCAAAUACCAAAAUAUUACGGUUUGGCAAUUAUGAGAAAUCAGAAUAAUGUAGACGAAAUGUAUAAAGCAAUCUGGGCUACGUUUCAUCAUUUGUGUUCAACUGAUAAAAAACCAAACCAUGACAAUUGUCCAGAAGGCGCAGAGAGUUUGUGCGCUUAUCGCCGCGCGGAAGCUGAAGGAAUGAUGAUCAUAGUUGGACCUGCAGCAAGAGAUUAUGCGGCUCUUAAGGACGAGACGAGACUACGAAUCGCUAAUCAUCGCCAACAGGCUUCUUCAAAGAGGGUCGAUCAUCUCGAAAAAGAGCUUCUUCAGCUCAACAAGCACUUUUUGAAGGAGAGGAAAGUAAAUUAUAUGGGCCUGGAAUAGCAGAUUAGCUGUUUCAUCCACGGAGAAGGUCGGAAUCACUGCAGCAGUGGAGGACCUUUUUUUUAGCGCCGUCGGAGAUCGCGUGUAACUCGAAAAAUGUUUGAUUUUUUUCUUCAAAAAUUUUACUGUGUAUUCUUAAAGUAUGCAUAAAUAUACCCUGAAAAUUUUAAAAUAAUUGAUACGGUAGUUUUUUUUCUUUUUAUUCUCAAAAAUCGCCUUUCUUAGGCUGUCACACCAGGUGUGCCCCUUAAAGAUAGGGUUGCCGAUCGGGGCAGAAUCUACGCUGUUAGAAAAAUACCCUCCGCCUGGCGAUCGUUUCAGAAGAGCACUCCAAAGAAAGACUUCAAAAACUGCACUUUUUCGAUAUUGCCCAAUUUUAUAGUUUCAAACCUAUAUGGAAUACGAUGCAGUUGUUGACUUUCGUCAAUUUUCAAAAAUUAUAUCGAGACAACCUGGCGAAGAAUUUCGACCGGCAACGAAUCGAGCGGCAAUAUAAGUGCAGCCCCUUGGUGACAAAAGAGGCCCGUAAAUCACGCAAAGAGCUGAAAUGGAUGGUCAAAAUGACUAUUACGAAGAAGCUGAAGGACUAUUAUAUAUUGCUGGAAUAGCUGACUGGUCAGUAAGUCGCAGAUUCAUGCGUGUUUCCCUCGCUGAAACUUUAAACGUGAUUAUCUCGAAACUCUUUUUCAGUGACUUGAAAAUCGGUGUACACGAUUACUGAAAAACCAUUUUACCGAUCGAGCUUAAAUUUGGCAGACGUUUUCAUGACACUUAUGUCCAAUCGAUGAAUUUAAUACCGUCUAAAAAUUAUCAAAAUAAACUUAUCAAAUGGAAAAAAAUUUUUUUUUGGCUGGAUCGGUUUGAAAUUUUUCCUGAAAAAAUCAACUUUUUUAUUUUAAGGCUUCCCCUUCAGCCAAAUAUCAUUUUUUUCCCUAUAUUAUUGCUUGAAUAACUGACCACACGUAUAUACUAAUUAAUAUUUUUGCGAAGACUGUUUUAGAUAAUCUUACAAGGUACUUACUUGUUUUAUCUCCGCGAUUUUACACUUUUUUUUAGCUACGAAAAAGUUUCGAAAAUUAUAAAUAAUGUAA